Long non-coding RNA from Oncorhynchus keta (chum salmon), 597 nucleotides. RefSeq lists it as uncharacterized. The record is from RefSeq and is a predicted model, not a curated record. Lineage: Eukaryota; Metazoa; Chordata; Actinopteri; Salmoniformes; Salmonidae. The transcript has 4 exons.
CUACACCGCUGCACUACGGUGGGAUUAUCAAACACACUGAGGAACUGUACAGGAGCUUUUGAGUGCGAGCAGGUUGAUGACUGCGGUGGCUCUGCUGUGCCUGGCUGCUCUGUGUGCAGCGCGGAAGAGGAAGAGAACAGAACUCAGAAUGGGACUACAGAACGGACGCAGAGAAGGUGAACACUAGAGGCUGCGUCAACCUCACCCUGGUGUUGGACAACCUAGAGGUUUUACUAUCAUGAACCAAGUCAAAGACCUUCUCCUCAACGACCACAGCUCUGUGCUGCCUGACUACGGGAGGAUCCCUCCUCUAUCAGGAUCCCUCCUCUAUCAGGAUCCCUCCUCUAUCAGGAUCCCUCCUCUAUCAGGAUCCCUCCUCCACCAGGAUCCCUCCUCCACCAGGAUCCCUCCUCCAUCAGGAUCCCUCCUCCACCAGGAUCCCUCCUCCACCAGGAUCCCUCCUCCACCAGGAUCCCUCCUCUACAGGAUCCCUCCUCCACCAGGACCCCUCCUCCACCAGGAUCCCUCCUCCACCAGGAUCCCUCCUCCACCAGGAUCCCUCCUCCACCAGGACCCCUCCUCCACCAGGAUCCCUCC